ACUCCUACGGGAGGCAGCAGUGGGGAAUAUUGCACAAUGGGGGAAACCCUGAUGCAGCGACGCCGCGUGAAGGAAGAAGUAUCUCGGUAUGUAAACUUCUAUCAGCAGGGAAGAAAAUGACGGUACC
Molecule: ribosomal RNA, 127 nt
Filed under: uncultured Blautia sp.
Lineage: Bacteria; Bacillati; Bacillota; Clostridia; Lachnospirales; Lachnospiraceae
Description: partial 16S ribosomal RNA
Rfam family: Bacterial small subunit ribosomal RNA
Source: RNAcentral